UGGUACACACCGUCCCAUCCAAUGGAGAGUUGGACCCUGGUGAGUAACACGUAUCCCAGCUGCCGCUUACUCGGGGAUAGCCUUUCGAAAGAAAGAUUAAUACCCGAUGGUAUAAAGAGUUCGCAUGUUCUCUUUAUUAAAGAAUUUCGGUAAGCGAUGGGGAUGCGUUCCAUUAGAUNGUUGGCGGGGUAACGGCCCACCAAGUCUACGAUGGAUAGGGGUUCUGAGAGGAAGGUCCCCCACAUUGGAACUGAGACACGGUCCAAACUCCUACGGGAGGCAGCAGUGAGGAAUAUUGGUCAAUGGACGAGAGUCUGAACCAGCCAAGUAGCGUGAAGGAUGACUGCCCUAUGGGUUGUAAACUUCUUUUAUAAGGGAAUAAAGUGAGGGACGUGUCCCUUUUUGUAUGUACCUUAUGAAUAAGGAUCGGCUAACUCCGUGCCAGCAGCCGCGGUAAUACGGAGGAUCCAAGCGUUAUCCGGAUUUAUUGGGUUUAAAGGGAGCGUAGGUUGACAUAUAAGUCAGCUGUGAAAGUUUACGGCUCAACCGUGAAAUUGCAGUUGAUACUGUAUGUCUUGAGUGUACAAGAGGUGGGCGGAAUUCGUGGUGUAGCGGUGAAAUGCUUAGAUAUCACGAAGAACUCCAAUUGCGAAGGCAGCUCACUGGGGUACAACUGACACUGAGGCUCGAAAGUGUGGGUAUCAAACAGGAUUAGAUACCCUGGUAGUCC
RNAcentral lists this ribosomal RNA (730 nucleotides) under bacterium E73. Its description in RNAcentral is "bacterial SSU rRNA". It matches the Rfam family "Bacterial small subunit ribosomal RNA", at positions 75 to 796 of the family's 1533-position model. The record is from RNAcentral.